GUGCCCUCUGGGCGGUUGUGAGGCUGUGCAGCCUGCGGCUUCUGCCCUCUUUCUUUCCCUGACUGGUUGGGUCCGGCCUCCGAGGCCUGUACCCCGCCUUUUCCGCAUAGGCAUGUGACCAGGGUCUCCCGCGGAGUUUUGCUGAGAAUUUUGGAAAUGAAGCAUGUGGAGCGCCUAUGUCGGGGGAGAGAGGCCGAGCUGAAGGAGCACGGGCGCCGGCCUCGGCCUCUGGGGAGCCGGGCCCGCUCGCCUCCCUGCGCGGGGCUAGCCCGAGCCUGGAACUCGGGAGGCCCAGGAGCGAAGUGAAAGCCCCUUCUGGUCCCCCAGGGCUCCACUCCCGCAGCAGCCCGGCUCCGUCGGCGUCAGUGGAGCCCCAGGCCUGGGUCCGAGAUGAGCGAGACGCUGCUCUGGCUCGCGGUCGCCCGAGCGCUCCCAAAACCAGGGAACAGGCCCCAGGAGAGAAGCCCCUAGAAGUUUCCUGGAGCAGGGAGUCUCCUGUAUCCUGUUAGCUCUGCAAAGGAAUCUGGACUUUAUUCUGAGGGCCUUGGAGAACCCCUGCAAAGUUUUUUAAAAGGCUGGAGUGCACUAGCAAGAUCACAGUUUACUUCAGUCUCAACCUCCUGGGUUCAAGUGAUCCUCCUACCUCAGCUUCCCAAGUAGCUGGGACCACAGUUGCCACCAAGGUGCUUGGUCCUUCCGAGGAAGCUAAGGCCACAUUGGGGUGAGGCCAUCACUUCAUCCAGUGACUAGCACCACCUCUGGCAAUGUCAGCCCCACACUCGCCCGCGCCAUGGCCUCCAUCUCCGAGCUUGCCUGUGUCUACUUGGCCCUCAUUCUGCACGAUGACGAGGUGAUCAUCAUGGAGGUUAAUAUCAAUACCCUCAUUAAAGCAGCCAGUGUAAAUGUUGAACCUUUUGGCCUGGCUUGUUUGGAAAGGCCCUGGCCAACGUCAACAUUGGAAGCCUCAUCUGCAAUGUAGGGGCUGGUGGACCUGCUCUAGCAGCUGGUGCUGCACCAGCAGGAGGUCCUGCCCCCUCCAUUGCUGCUGCUUCAGCUGAGGAGAAGAAAAUGGAAGCAAAGAAAGAAGAAUCUGAGGAGUCUGAUGAUGACAUGGGCUUUGGUCUUUUUACUAAACCUGUUUUAUAAUGUGUUCAAUAAAAAGCUGACUUUACUGCUGUUGGUCUUGCCCAUAGUUUGGGAAUGUGCUCUGCAAAAAUGGUCUCAGUUUUGUAAUGUUGGCUUUUAACCUAUUCUGCCAUGACACAGGCUGGUUUUGCCUGCCACCGUUGCCUGAUGUGAGAUCUUGGACAAUCCUGAUGCCAACAAGAAGGCACCUCAUGGUACAGUGUUGAAAGCUGAAGUGGGGUGGCAGGAGGAAGGAUCAGAGCAGAUGCUUUGUCCAAGUUACGUAUAAACUUGAUAAUUAUCAAGUAUUAUAAACUUAAUAGAGCCACCAUGUCCAAUUUUUAAUUGUGGUAAAACAUACAGAACAUAAAAUUCCUCUUUCUAACCAUUUUUAAGUGUAUAAUUCAGU
This 1534-nucleotide long non-coding RNA is filed under the name Homo sapiens (human). RNAcentral describes it as "HSALNT0330315". The record is from RNAcentral. Lineage: Eukaryota; Metazoa; Chordata; Mammalia; Primates; Hominidae.